UAGUUGGUGAGGUAAAGGCUCACCAAGGCGACGAUCUGUAGCGGGUCUGAGAGGAUGAUCCGCCACACUGGAACUGAGACACGGUCCAGACUCCUACGGGAGGCAGCAGUGGGGAAUUUUGGACAAUGGGGGCAACCCUGAUCCAGCCAUGCCGCGUGAGUGAAGAAGGCCUUCGGGUUGUAAAGCUCUUUCGGCCGGGAAGAAAUCGUAUGGGUUAAUACCCUGUGCGGAUGACGGUACCGGCAUAAGAAGCACCGGCUAACUACGUGCCAGCAGCCGCGGUAAUACGUAGGGUGCGAGCGUUAAUCGGAAUUACUGGGCGUAAAGCGUGCGCAGGCGGUUUUGUAAGACAGGCGUGAAAUCCCCGGGCUCAACCUGGGAACUGCGCUUGUGACUGCAAGGCUAGAGUAUGGCAGAGGGGGGUGGAAUUCCACGUGUAGCAGUGAAAUGCGUAGAGAUGUGGAGGAACACCAAUGGCGAAGGCAGCCCCCUGGGCCAAUACUGGCGCUCAUGCACGAAAGCGUGGGUAGCAAACAGGAUUAGAUACCCUGGUAGUCCACGCCCUAAACGAUGUCAACUAGGUGUUGGGUGGGUAAAACCAUUUAGUACCGGAGCUAACGCGUGAAGUUGACCGCCUGGGGAGUACGGCCGCAAGGUUAAAACUCAAAGGAAUUGACGGGGACCCGCACAAGCGGUGGAUGAUGUGGAUUAAUUCGAUGCAACGCGAAAAACCUUACCUACCCUUGACAUGUCCAGGAGCCUGAAGAGAUUUGGGUGUGCCCGAAAGGGAACUGGAACACAGGUGCUGCAUGGCUGUCGUCAGCUCGUGUCGUGAGAUGUUGGGUUAAGUCCCGCAACGAGCGCAACCCUUGUCGUUAAUUGCCAUCAUUUAGUUGGGCACUUUAACGAGACUGCCGGUGACAAACCGGAGGAAGGUGGGGAUGACGUCAAGUCCUCAUGGCCCUUAUGGGUAGGGCUUCACACGUCAUACAAUGGUCGGUACAAAGGGUUGCCAACCCGCGAGGGGGAGCCAAUCCCAGAAAGCCGAUCGUAGUCCGGAUCGCAGGCUGCAACUCGCCUGCGUGAAGUCGGAAUCGCUAGUAAUCGUGGAUCAGCAUGUCACGGUGAAUACGUUCCCGGGUCUUGUACACACCGCCCGUCACACCAUGGGAGCGGGUUCCGCCAGAAGUAGGUAGCCUAACCGCAAGGGGGGCGCUUACCACGGCGGGGUUCGUGACUGGGGUGAAGUCGAAACAAGGUA
Molecule: ribosomal RNA, 1261 nt
Filed under: metagenome
Description: bacterial SSU rRNA
Rfam family: Bacterial small subunit ribosomal RNA
Source: RNAcentral